CCUACGGGGGGCUGCAGUGAGGAAUAUUGGUCAAUGGGCGCGAGCCUGAACCAGCCAAGUAGCGUGAAGGAUGACUGCCCUAUGGGUUGUAAACUUCUUUUAUAAAGGAAUAAAGUGCGGCACGUGUGCCUUUUUGCAUGUACCUUAUGAAUAAGGAUCGGCUAACUCCGUGCCAGCAGCCGCGGUAAUACGGAGGAUCCGAGCGUUAUCCGGAUUUAUUGGGUUUAAAGGGUGCGUAGGUGGGUUGUUAAGUCAGUUGUGAAAGUUUGCGGCUCAACCGUAAAAUUGCAUUUGAUACUGGCAGUCUUGAGUACAGUUGAGGUAGGCGGAAUUCGUGGUGUAGCGGUGAAAUGCUUAGAUAUCACGAAGAACUCCGAUUGCGAAGGCAGCUUACUAAACUGCCACUGACAUUGAUGCUCGAAAGUGUGGGUAUCAAACAGGAGUAGAUACCCCUGUAGUC
This 460-nucleotide ribosomal RNA is filed under the name uncultured bacterium. Its description in RNAcentral is "partial 16S ribosomal RNA". It matches the Rfam family "Bacterial small subunit ribosomal RNA", at positions 338 to 795 of the family's 1533-position model. The record is from RNAcentral.